UAUCAAUAAGCGGAGGAAAAG
Molecule: small nuclear RNA, 21 nt
Filed under: Arabidopsis thaliana (thale cress)
Lineage: Eukaryota; Viridiplantae; Streptophyta; Magnoliopsida; Brassicales; Brassicaceae
Description: snRNA_05116
Source: RNAcentral